Salvator merianae (Argentine black and white tegu) is the source of this 516-nucleotide long non-coding RNA. NCBI's taxonomy places the organism in Eukaryota, Metazoa, Chordata, Lepidosauria, Squamata, Teiidae. The record is from Ensembl.
AAAACCUCCCUCUGAAGAAGACGUCGGCUGCUUCCCUCCCGUCCGUCCGCACCGCCACCGCUACCGCUACAUACAGCAGCCACAGAGUCCCUCCUCCUUUAUUGGAUACUAGCGGGUCCUCAAAGGCUCCCAGGCUGUAAUUAGAGGGUGGAUCCUCUAAAGCAGAGAAGCGCUCGCUCGCUCGCCCUCGCCUCGCUCUCCGCCCCCCCCCGUCUCUUCCAACCCCAGACCAAGCAACCCGUCCUCUUUUUUCGCUUCUUGUCUCUCUCCUUCCUUCUUCCUCAAAACUCUGCAGCACACAAACCCUCGGGCUGGGACAGCGGCAGCGAUGGCAUCGNCAGUGCCGGAGGAAACCAUCGCCCUGCUGAGGUGACCACCGGUGCCCGGAGAGCGUCCUGGCUAGAAGCACCCUGGAGCUUUUGUCGGACCAGGUGGGAAAGACAAACCUCACGGAAGGAGAGAAAAGUGGAAAGCUCCAGGCUGUUUCGGAGGCCAGAGGUCAAAACACAGGUGUGA